This 1379-nucleotide ribosomal RNA is filed under the name uncultured Pseudomonadota bacterium. RNAcentral's name for it is "uncultured proteobacterium 16S ribosomal RNA". It matches the Rfam family "Bacterial small subunit ribosomal RNA", at positions 30 to 1394 of the family's 1533-position model. Lineage: Bacteria; Pseudomonadati; Pseudomonadota. The record is from RNAcentral.
UGAACGCUGGCGGUAUGCUUAACACAUGCAAGUCGAACGGAAACGAUACUAGCUUGCUAGUAGGCGUCGAGUGGCGGACGGGUGAGUAACGCGUAGGAAUCUGCCUGAUAGUGGGGGAUAGCCCGAAGAAAUUCGGAUUAAUACCGCAUAAUCUAUUCGUAGUAAAGUGGGGGACUUUCGAGCCUCACGCUAUCAGAUGAGCCUGCGUAAGAUUAGCUUGUUGGUGGGGUAAAAGCCCACCAAGGCGACGAUCUUUAGCUGGUCUGAGAGGAUGAUCAGCCACAUCGGGACUGAGACACGGCCCGAACUCCUACGGGAGGCAGCAGUGGGGAAUAUUGGACAAUGGGGGCAACCCUGAUCCAGCAAUACCGCGUGUGUGAAGAAGGCCUGAGGGUUGUAAAGCACUUUCAAUUGUGAAGAAAAGUUAGCGGUUAAUAACCGUUAGCCUUGACGUUAACUUUAGAAGAAGCACCGGCUAACUCCGUGCCAGCAGCCGCGGUAAUACGGAGGGUGCAAGCGUUAAUCGGAAUUACUGGGCGUAAAGCGUGCGUAGGCGGUUUAUUAAGUCAGAUGUGAAAGCCCCCGGGGCUUAACCUGGGGAACUGCAUUUGAAACUGGUCAACUUAGCAGUAUGGUAGAGGAAAGUGGAAUUUCUGGUGUAGCGGUGAAAUGCGUAGAUAUCAGAAGGAACAUCAAUGGCGAAGGCAGCUUUCUGGACCAAUACUGACGCUGAGGUACGAAAGCGUGGGUAGCAAACAGGAUUAGAUACCCUGGUAGUCCACGCCGUAAAACGAUGAUAACUAGCCGUUGGGGGGAUUUACCCUUUAGUGGCGAAGCUAACGCGUUAAGUUAUCCGCCUGGGGAGUACGGCCGCAAGGUUAAAACUCAAAGGAAUUGACGGGGACCCGCACAAGCGGUGGAGCAUGUGGUUUAAUUCGAUGCAACGCGAAGAACCUUACCUGGUCUUGACAUCCUGCGAACUUUCUAGAAAUAGAUUGGUGCCUUCGGGAACGCAGUGACAGGUGCUGCAUGGCUGUCGUCAGCUCGUGUCGUGAGAUGUUGGGUUAAGUCCCGUAACGAGCGCAACCCCUAUCCUUAUUUGCCAGCACAUUAUGGUGGGAACUAUAAGGAGACUGCCGGUGAUAAACCGGAGGAAGGCGGGGACGACGUCAAGUCAUCAUGGCCCUUACGACCAGGGCUACACACGUGCUACAAUGGGAAGGACAAAGAGCCGCGAAGCCGCGAGGUGUAGCUAAUCUCAUAAACCUUUUCGUAGUCCGGAUUGGAGUCUGCAACUCGACUCCAUGAAGUCGGAAUCGCUAGUAAUCGUAGAUCAGAAUGCUACGGUGAAUACGUUCCCGGGUCUUGUACACACCGCC